This 575-nucleotide long non-coding RNA is filed under the name Ananas comosus (pineapple). RNAcentral's name for it is "long non-coding RNA (ACOM_LNC000917)". The record is from RNAcentral. Lineage: Eukaryota; Viridiplantae; Streptophyta; Magnoliopsida; Poales; Bromeliaceae.
AAAUUCUCGACAUUAUAUAAUCAAUAGUUUAAUUUUUAUAGAACAUUACCUACAAUUUGAUGCAACAUGUCCAAUAGUUCAAAAUACAAAAUAAUUGCAAGAAAUGUGAGCUAGGGUGACUGCCUGACUGGGUGAGGGUCUGAGGGAGAAUGAGAGAGAGAGAGAGAGAGAGGGGAAAAAAAUUAGGGAUUUGAGAAUUUGAAUGUUAUCAUGUUUUAGGGUUAUGUGCAACAGUGAAAGUCUGAAAGAGAGAGUGUGUUAUGUAAAUUUAGAGUUGGGCUCAAUUGCACGGUUGUAUUUGUUGGGUUUAUUUUAUAGGUCAACAAUAAUGGCCCAAAUUAAAUUAAAGCCUAUAUAUAAUUAAAAUACAUUAUAUAUAUAUAUAUAUAUUCGAGCUUUUCGAGCUUUUCGAGCCUAAUUCGAACGAGCUGAGUAAUACUCAAGCUCGGCUUGAAAUGAAUUUCGAGCCUUUUAUUUUGUUCAAGCUCGGCUCAUUUAAUUUCGAGUCGAGCUCGAGCGAGCCAAAUAUCGAGCCAAACACGAGUCGAACGCGAGCCGGCUCGCUCGUUUGCCAG